UGAGAACCAUGGUAGUAGCUGCUCCUCUUCUUCUUCGUCUUCUUCCUCCUGCUCAGGCUGCUCCCGGAAACACUAGA
Molecule: small RNA, 77 nt
Filed under: Arabidopsis thaliana (thale cress)
Lineage: Eukaryota; Viridiplantae; Streptophyta; Magnoliopsida; Brassicales; Brassicaceae
Description: ATSL181570
Source: RNAcentral